This 839-nucleotide ribosomal RNA is filed under the name uncultured bacterium. Its description in RNAcentral is "bacterial SSU rRNA". It matches the Rfam family "Bacterial small subunit ribosomal RNA", at positions 8 to 821 of the family's 1533-position model. The record is from RNAcentral.
AGGGUUUGAUCAUGGCUCAGAACGAACGCUGGCAGCGUGGAUUAGGCAUGCAAGUCGAACGGGAUCCGGGAGGUAGCAAUACCGGCCGGUGAGAGUGGCGGAAGGGCGAGGAGCACGUGGACAACCUGUCCCGUGGGUGGGGAUACCGUCCCGAAAGGGGCGUUAAUACCGAAUGGGGCCCCGGACCGCAUGGUCCGGCGGCCAAAGGCGGGGACCGCAAGGCCCGCCCCCCCGGGAGGGGUCCGCGCACCAUCAGCUAGACGGCGGGGUAACGGCCCACCGUGGCUUACGGUUAGCUGGUCUGAGAGGACGACCAGCCGCACUGGGACUGAGACACUGCCCAGACUCCUACGGGAGGCUGCAGUCGAGGAUCAUUCGCAAUGGGCGAAAGCCUGACGAUGCGACGUUGCGUGGAGGAUGAAGGCCUUCGGGUCGUAAACUCCUGUCAUGGGGGGCGAGGCGGAGGCGGUUAACGGCCGCCCGAGUUGACGGUACCCCAAGAGGAAGCCACGGCUAACUCUGUGCCAGCAGCCGCGGUAAUACAGAGGUGGCGAGCGUUGUUCGGAUUUACUGGGCGUAAAGGGCGCGUAGGCGGCCGCGUGUGUGGGGUGUGAAAUCUCCGGGCUCAACCCGGAAAGUGCGCUCCAAACUGCGCGGCUCGAGUGCGGGAGGGGAGAUCGGAAUGCAGGGUGUAGCGGUGAAAUGCGUUUGAUAUCCUGCAGAACACCGGUGGCGAAGGCGGAUCUCUGGAACGCAACUGACGCUGAGGCGCGAAAGCAGGGGGAGCAAACAGGAUUUAGAUACCGUGGUAGUCCCUGCCCUAACGGUGCACGCUUGAG